UGGGGAAUAUUGGACAAUGGGCGAAAGCCUGAUCCAGCCAUGCCGCGUGUGUGAAGAAGGUCUUCGGAUUGGAAAGCACUUUAAGUUGGGAGGAAGGGCAUUAACCUAAUACGUUAGUGUUUUGACGUUACCGACAGAAUAAGCACAGGCUAACUCUGUGCCAGCAGCCGCGGUAAUACAGAGGGUGCAAGCGUUAAUCGGAAUUACUGGGCGUAAAGCGCGCGUAGGUGGUUUGUUAAGUUGGAUGUGAAAUCCCCGGGCUCAACCUGGGAACUGCAUUCAAAACUGACUGACUAGAGUAUGGUAGAGGGUGGUGGAAUUUCCUGUGUAGCGGUGAAAUGCGUAGAUAUAGGAAGGAACACCAGUGGCGAAGGCGACCACCUGGACUAAUACUGACACUGGGGUGCGAAAGCGUGGGGAGCAAACA
This 427-nucleotide ribosomal RNA is filed under the name uncultured bacterium. RNAcentral describes it as "partial 16S ribosomal RNA". It matches the Rfam family "Bacterial small subunit ribosomal RNA", at positions 355 to 774 of the family's 1533-position model. The record is from RNAcentral.